AGAGCGACAGGUAUCCUAGCGGUUAGAGAGGGAGGUACCUAGCGGUUAGAGCGACAGGUAUCCUAGCGGUUAGAGAGGGAGGUACCUAGCGGUUAGAGGGGCAGGUAUCCUAGUGGUUAGAGCGUUGGGCCAGUAACCGAAAGGUUGCUGGAUCAAAUCCCUGAGCUGACAAGGUAAAAAUCUGUUGUUCUGCCCCUGAGGAAGGCAGUUAACCCAGUGUUCCCUGGGCAACGUGGAUGUUGAGUAAAGCAGCCCCCUGCACCUCUCUGAUUCAGAGGGGUUGGGUUAAAUGCGGAAGACACAUUUCAGUUGAAUACAUUCAGUUGGAGAACUGACUAGGUAUCCCCCUUUCCUUAAAAUGAGGGACAGACCUAAAUGAAUCACUAAUCACAAUAAAUAAUCAUCUUCAGAAAUGACUGUCAAAGCAUCAAAAUAACUGGGACUUUCAACAGGACGCAAAAGACACUCAAUUUGUGGAACGGCCCAGCAACUCUAUUACAGAGGACACUACAGGUGUACUCCACAGUGGAUAGAGGAUACUACAGGUGUACUCCACAGUGGAUAGAGGAUACUACAGGUGUACUCCACAGUGGAUAGAGGACACUACAGGUGUACUCCACAGUGGAUAGAGGACACUACAGGUGUACUCCACAGUGGAUAGUGGAUACUACAGGUGUACUCCACAGUGGAUAGAGGAUACUACAGAUUUACUUCAAGAUGAGCCUUGAAAGGAGUCUAUGGACUGAUGUGUGAUUCUGAGUCUGAGGAGAGACUGGUAUGAGGACUAGGAUCUAACUGGUAUCUGUGUGAGGACUUUCCAUGACCAAUACGGACCAUAUCUAAUAUUUGUUUAUUUUAAUAACCUUUCACCUCUAGUUUGUUGGUUUGUUUGUGUUGACCUCAGACAGGUUAGUUGUUGUUCAUCUGCUGCUGACUAUUUGCAAUAUGGGAUUCUGGUAACGUUUUAUUUUACAAUCCGGUUUAAGAUGGUAUUAGGGUUACAAUAUUCAGGUCACUCCAGAAGCGGAAUUUUGCAACCCUUAGAUGGUACUUGAUUGGUUCAAUGAAUCUCAACGAAACCGAAGUGUUAUAUGCAAUUAUCACGUAAUUAGCGUUUUAAUUUGUAAGUAACUACCCUUCCUGCUUAACGGUGGGUUGUAAAAUGAAACAUUACUGAGAUUCUUUGUUUCUCCGUUUUGAUACACCUGAAAAUGUACAUGCAAUGAUCAUGAAUUUGAUUUGACCUGUUGUUUUGUUCUCAUGUAUUAUGUGCCUUUCUGUAUGUGACAAUUCUGUUUAAAUUAAACAAACAUUUUUAAUCAACAAACCACUCCAUGAUUUUUUUAUUUAUUUAACUAGGCAAGUCAGUUAAGAACAAAUUCUUAUUUACAAUGACAGCCUACCGGGGACAGUGGGUUAACUGCCUUGUUCAGGGGCAGAACGACAGAUUUUUACCUUGUCAGCUCGGGGAUUCAAUCCAGCAAAGUUUCGGUUACUGGCCCAAUGCUCUAACCACUAGGCUACCUGCCACCCCAGGUGUUUGAAUGAGUGUGGUGGACAUGUUGUUGUUGACGGUUUGAUUUGCUUGAGAAAAAGUUGUGAAUACCACCUUAGUGGUGUGGAUGACAAUAAUGGUCAAAAUAAUGAAUGAACUGAUUAAAUGAAAUGAAAUUAA
Molecule: non-coding RNA, 1675 nt
Organism: Salmo salar (Atlantic salmon)
Lineage: Eukaryota; Metazoa; Chordata; Actinopteri; Salmoniformes; Salmonidae
Source: RefSeq, a predicted model, not a curated record